This is a long non-coding RNA of Rhipicephalus microplus (southern cattle tick), 328 nucleotides long. Lineage: Eukaryota; Metazoa; Arthropoda; Arachnida; Ixodida; Ixodidae. The record is from RefSeq and is a predicted model, not a curated record.
AUGCCCAAGCUGUUACCAACUACACGUUUCGUCAUGUGAUUAAGGACUGCGCUAUUGUUUUCAAGGAAAAAGAAAAGAACAAAACAGGUGUAGUUUCAAGUUGGGAGCUAUGGGUAAACAAUCGGUUCAACACCAGCUCUGAGUUCUGCAAGAAACAAUACCUAAAGGUGUGCAAAUGCGACCAACCCAUGCAAUUCAACAUGAGUGACUGUGAAAGACCACCACAAAACCAGGAAUCUUUUGAAUGACAUUAAAUGUCUAAAAAAGCUGUUGAGCAUAAGAAAAUGAGGAGUCACUGGCACUAAAUAAAAUUUUGAAGUGUCUUUCA